RNAcentral lists this ribosomal RNA (253 nucleotides) under uncultured bacterium. Its description in RNAcentral is "partial 16S ribosomal RNA". It matches the Rfam family "Bacterial small subunit ribosomal RNA", at positions 524 to 776 of the family's 1533-position model. The record is from RNAcentral.
UACGGAGGGGACUAGCGUUGUUCGGAAUUACUGGGCGUAAAGCGCGCGUAGGCGGAUUUGUAAGUCAGGGGUGAAAUCCCGGGGCUCAACCUCGGAACUGCCUUUGAUACUGCAAAUCUCGAGUCCGGAAGAGGUGAGUGGAAUUCCUAGUGUAGAGGUGAAAUUCGUAGAUAUUCGCAAGAACACCAGUGGCGAAGGCGGCUCACUGGCCCGAUACUGACGCUGAGGCACGAAAGCGUGGGGAGCAAACAGG